RNAcentral lists this ribosomal RNA (465 nucleotides) under Vreelandella stevensii. Its description in RNAcentral is "partial 16S ribosomal RNA". It matches the Rfam family "Bacterial small subunit ribosomal RNA", at positions 338 to 795 of the family's 1533-position model. Lineage: Bacteria; Pseudomonadati; Pseudomonadota; Gammaproteobacteria; Oceanospirillales; Halomonadaceae. The record is from RNAcentral.
CCUACGGGUGGCAGCAGUGGGGAAUAUUGGACAAUGGGGGGAACCCUGAUCCAGCCAUGCCGCGUGUGUGAAGAAGGCCCUCGGGUUGUAAAGCACUUUCAGUGAGGAAGAACGCCUGGUGGUUAAUACCCAUCAGGAAAGACAUCACUCACAGAAGAAGCACCGGCUAACUCCGUGCCAGCAGCCGCGGUAAUACGGAGGGUGCGAGCGUUAAUCGGAAUUACUGGGCGUAAAGCGCGCGUAGGUGGCUUGAUAAGCUGGUUGUGAAAGCCCCGGGCUCAACCUGGGAACGGCAUCCGGAACUGUCAAGCUAGAGUGCAGGAGAGGAAGGUAGAAUUCCCGGUGUAGCGGUGAAAUGCGUAGAGAUCGGGAGGAAUACCAGUGGCGAAGGCGGCCUUCUGGACUGACACUGACACUGAGGUGCGAAAGCGUGGGUAGCAAACAGGAUUAGAUACCCGUGUAGUC